Molecule: transfer RNA, 68 nt
Filed under: Pseudorhombus cinnamoneus (cinnamon flounder)
Lineage: Eukaryota; Metazoa; Chordata; Actinopteri; Pleuronectiformes; Paralichthyidae
Description: tRNA-Glu
Rfam family: tRNA
About the family: Transfer RNA (tRNA) molecules are approximately 80 nucleotides in length. Their secondary structure includes four short double-helical elements and three loops (D, anti-codon, and T loops). Further hydrogen bonds mediate the characteristic L-shaped molecular structure. tRNAs have two regions of fundamental functional importance: the anti-codon, which is responsible for specific mRNA codon recognition, and the 3' end, to which the tRNAs corresponding amino acid is attached (by aminoacyl-tRNA synthetases). tRNAs cope with the degeneracy of the genetic code in two manners: having more than one tRNA (with a specific anti-codon) for a particular amino acid; and 'wobble' base-pairing, i.e. permitting non-standard base-pairing at the 3rd anti-codon position.
Source: RNAcentral
GUUUUUAUAGUUGAACUCAACGACGGUUUUUCGAGCCGUAGGUCCUGGUUAAAAUCCUGGUAGAAACC